This 85-nucleotide transfer RNA is filed under the name Actinomycetota bacterium. Its description in RNAcentral is "Actinobacteria bacterium tRNA-Leu". It matches the Rfam family "tRNA". Rfam says of the family: Transfer RNA (tRNA) molecules are approximately 80 nucleotides in length. Their secondary structure includes four short double-helical elements and three loops (D, anti-codon, and T loops). Lineage: Bacteria; Bacillati; Actinomycetota. The record is from RNAcentral.
GCCCGGGUGGCGGAAUGGCAGACGCAGAGGGCUUAAACCCCUCGGGUCCUUUGGGAUCGUGCGGGUUCGAGUCCCGCCCUGGGCA